GCUCCGACUCCUCCGCUGUUGCAGUUGUUGUUGUUGUUGCCCUCUGCAUCUCUCUCUCCGUCGCCGCUCCUCGUCCACGCCCUCCCGUCGACCCCGUCGAGGGAUAACCGGGAGUUUGACCGGAUGACAGCGCCAUAGAAAGAGAGAGUUACAACACUCCCAUUGACUUCUGUAGAAAGAAUGGAAUGCAGAAGUCACGUGGGUCAUGGAGCUGCUAAUAGUUCCAAACACCAGCAGCUCCAGCACUGAACGUAAUUCAUUCUCGUUGUUUCGGAAGGAUUUUUUACGGUAAACCACACGAGAAUGGCUUAAAUGAACUGCUGAACCAUGUUGCAUACAAAGGAGGUCAGCAGAUGUGGUGACUGACUUCAAAGGGAGCUGCUGCCAAUGAUGCCAAGGAGGAUGAACCCUCAUUCGGACUUGGGCACAUUUUUACCUUGUCCAGAUUUGAGCAGAUACAGUUUAUUGGUGCAGAUGUAAUUAAUAAACUGUAUAAAUGGUAGUGCAAGUACUUCUUUAUUAAAGCUAGUUUUGCAUUUUACAUAUCUUA
Molecule: long non-coding RNA, 550 nt
Organism: Girardinichthys multiradiatus
Lineage: Eukaryota; Metazoa; Chordata; Actinopteri; Cyprinodontiformes; Goodeidae
Exons: 4
Source: RefSeq, a predicted model, not a curated record